GCGUUUAGUGGAGUAUAUACACUCGUCCUUGGUAAGGAUGAGGUAAUGGGUUCGACUCCCAUCAUCAGCUCCA
RNAcentral lists this transfer RNA (73 nucleotides) under Oscillospiraceae bacterium. RNAcentral's name for it is "tRNA-Thr". The stretch from base 6 to 62 matches the Rfam family "tRNA", at positions 8 to 63 of the family's 71-position model. Rfam says of the family: Transfer RNA (tRNA) molecules are approximately 80 nucleotides in length. Their secondary structure includes four short double-helical elements and three loops (D, anti-codon, and T loops). Lineage: Bacteria; Bacillati; Bacillota; Clostridia; Eubacteriales; Oscillospiraceae. The record is from RNAcentral.